RNAcentral lists this long non-coding RNA (410 nucleotides) under Nicotiana benthamiana. RNAcentral's name for it is "long non-coding RNA (NBEN_LNC026958)". Lineage: Eukaryota; Viridiplantae; Streptophyta; Magnoliopsida; Solanales; Solanaceae. The record is from RNAcentral.
AAAUAAGGAUUAAUUGGACUAUUAUAAUUAUCUAAGUAAGGAUUAAACUCAAAAGUAGUGAUGCUAAAGUAAUUAAACUAAAAAGAAAAAAAAAUACCAAUGAUAUAAAAUUCCAGUCUAUGAAUAAUCUCAUAAAAGGCAGUGUAAUAAAGCAUCAAUACACAUUCAUACCAUAAUAAAAUGAAUCUUCUUAUAGAAAUAGAACAAAAAAUCAAGAGCUUCGAGCCAAUAAAGACUGAGAAGAUUGACUCAAGAACCAAUUUCAUUCUGAGCUCCAUUUUAGAGACCAAAAAAAGGAGAGUAGAUUGGCUGGUUUUUCCAGUCAAGUAUAGUUGAAAAUCCCAUUUCCAAAUAUGAAUUUGAAUAGAACUUUGAAUAGAAGAUUAGAUUUUUAUGUCAUCAAUCUAAUA